This 253-nucleotide ribosomal RNA is filed under the name uncultured bacterium. RNAcentral's name for it is "partial 16S ribosomal RNA". It matches the Rfam family "Bacterial small subunit ribosomal RNA", at positions 524 to 776 of the family's 1533-position model. The record is from RNAcentral.
UACGAAGGGGGCUAGCGUUGUUCGGAAUCACUGGGCGUAAAGGGCGCGUAGGCGGCCGCCUAAGUCAGACGUGAAAUCCCUCGGCUCAACCGGGGAACUGCGUCUGAUACUGGGUGGCUUGAAUCCGGGAGAGGGAUGCGGAAUUCCAGGUGUAGCGGUGAAAUGCGUAGAUAUCUGGAGGAACACCGGUGGCGAAGGCGGCAUCCUGGACCGGUAUCGACGCUGAGGCGCGAAAGCCAGGGGAGCAAACGGG